RNAcentral lists this ribosomal RNA (516 nucleotides) under uncultured archaeon. Its description in RNAcentral is "bacterial SSU rRNA". It matches the Rfam family "Archaeal small subunit ribosomal RNA", at positions 345 to 859 of the family's 1478-position model. The record is from RNAcentral.
AACCUUUACACUGCACGACAGUGCGAUAGGGGGACUCCGAGUGCGAGGGCAUAGAGCCCUCGCUUUUGUACACCGUAAGGUGGUGUACGAAUAAGAACUGGGUAAGACCGGUGCCAGCCGCCGCGGUAAUACCGGCAGUUCGAGUGAUGGCCGAUUUUAUUGGGCCUAAAGCGUUCGUAGCUGGCCGAUCAAGUCUGUCGGGAAAUCUGCUCGCCUAACGAGCAGGCGUCCGGCGGAAACUGAUCGGCUUGGGACCGGAAGACUCGAGGGGUACGUCCGGGGUAGGAGUGAAAUCCUGUAAUCCUGGACGGACCACCGAUGGCGAAAGCACCUCGAGAGCACGGAUCCGACAGUGAGGAACGAAAGCUGGGGUCUCGAACCGGAUUAGAUACCCGGGUAGUCCCAGCUGUCAACGAUGCCCGCUAGGUAUGGCGCAGGCUACGAGCCUGUGCUAUGCCGUAGCGAAGGCGCUAAGCGGGCCGCCUGGGAAGUACGUUCAGCAAGAAUGAAACUUAA